GACGAACGCGGCGGCGUGCUUAACACAUGCAAGUCGAACGCUGAAGCUCAGCUUUUGUGGGUGGAUGAGUGGCGAACGGGUGAGUAACACGUGAGUAACCUGCCCCCUUCUUUGGGAUAACGCCCGGAAACGGGUGCUAAUACAGGAUAUUCACUGGCUCUCGCAUGGGGGUUGGUGGAAAGGUUUUUCUGGUGGGGGAUGGGCUCGCGGCCUAUCAGCUUGUUGGUGGGGUGAUGGCCUACCAAGGCUUUGACGGGUAGCCGGCCUGAGAGGGUGACCGGUCACAUUGGGACUGAGAUACGGCCCAGACUCCUACGGGAGGCAGCAGUGGGGAAUAUUGCACAAUGGGCGAAAGCCUGAUGCAGCGACGCCGCGUGAGGGAUGGAGGCCUUCGGGUUGUAAACCUCUUUCGCUCAUGGUCAAGCCGCAGCUUUGGGUUGUGGUGAGGGUAGUGGGUAAAGAAGCGCCGGCUAACUACGUGCCAGCAGCCGCGGUAAUACGUAGGGCGCGAGCGUUGUCCGGAAUUAUUGGGCGUAAAGGGCUUGUAGGCGGUUGGUCGCGUCUGCCGUGAAAUCCUCUGGCUUAACUGGGGGCGUGCGGUGGGUACGGGCUGACUUGAGUGCGGUAGGGGAGACUGGAACUCCUGGUGUAGCGGUGGAAUGCGCAGAUAUCAGGAAGAACACCGGUGGCGAAGGCGGGUCUCUGGGCCGUUACUGACGCUGAGGAGCGAAAGCGUGGGGAGCGAACAGG
RNAcentral lists this ribosomal RNA (750 nucleotides) under uncultured Actinomyces sp. Its description in RNAcentral is "bacterial SSU rRNA". It matches the Rfam family "Bacterial small subunit ribosomal RNA", at positions 28 to 776 of the family's 1533-position model. Lineage: Bacteria; Bacillati; Actinomycetota; Actinomycetes; Actinomycetales; Actinomycetaceae. The record is from RNAcentral.